RNAcentral lists this ribosomal RNA (253 nucleotides) under uncultured bacterium. RNAcentral's name for it is "partial 16S ribosomal RNA". It matches the Rfam family "Bacterial small subunit ribosomal RNA", at positions 524 to 776 of the family's 1533-position model. The record is from RNAcentral.
UACGUAGGGGGCUAGCGUUGUCCGGAAUCAUUGGGCGUAAAGCGCGUGUAGGCGGCCUGGUAAGUCCGCUGUGAAAGUCGGGGGCUCAACCCUCGGAUGCCGGUGGAUACUGUCGGGCUCGAGUACGGAAGAGGCGAGUGGAAUUCCUGGUGUAGCGGUGAAAUGCGCAGAUAUCAGGAGGAACACCAGUUGCGAAGGCAGCUCGCUGGGACGUAACUGACGCUGAGACGCGAAAGCGUGGGGAGCAAACAGG